UCGAACGGAGCUUAGAGAGCUUGCUUUUUAAGCUUAGUGGCGAACGGGUGAGUAACGCGUGAGUAACCUGCCCUAGAGUGGGGGACAACAGUUGGAAACGACUGCUAAUACCGCAUAAGCGCACAGCUUCGCAUGAAGCAGUGUGAAAAACUCCGGUGGUACAAGAUGGACUCGCGUCCAAUUAGCUAGUUGGUGAGGUAACGGCCCACCAAGGCGACGAUUGGUAGCCGGACUGAGAGGUUGAACGGCCACAUUGGGACUGAGACACGGCCCAGACUCC
Molecule: ribosomal RNA, 280 nt
Filed under: uncultured Eubacteriales bacterium
Lineage: Bacteria; Bacillati; Bacillota; Clostridia; Eubacteriales
Description: uncultured Clostridiales bacterium partial 16S ribosomal RNA
Rfam family: Bacterial small subunit ribosomal RNA
Source: RNAcentral